This is a long non-coding RNA of Macaca fascicularis (crab-eating macaque), 2545 nucleotides long. The record is from Ensembl. Lineage: Eukaryota; Metazoa; Chordata; Mammalia; Primates; Cercopithecidae.
GGCGAUGUGUAAUACUCUUUGGCUAGUGUAUAGUGUUGUAUACUUGCACGGUCAUAUAGGACAUAUACCUCCAUUUAUGUGUCUCUCUCUUCUGCCUCAGUUUUAUCACAUUGUCAUUAUAUAGACAGAAUAAUUUAUUUGAUGAAGGGAAAGUUAUUUUAAUAACCCUAGUGCUUGUGAGGUUUCCCCUUUAACUUUUGUUUACUUUUACUUUGAAGAACAGUAGAACCUUUUAUUGUUCCAACAUAGUAGGAUUUUUUAUCUAUUUUCCAUUGAGCUUUUUGUGUUUGUUUAUUUAAUAUUGUUCUUUAACAACUUUCCACAACCCAUUAUAUCUUUAUGGUUAAUUAUUUUCUCACUUAUUUUAUAAUUUUGGAUUUUGAGAUCAUCAUUAAUGAGGUUUUUCGGUGGGAAUUCUGUGUGGCAUUUGAAGGUGUGUCCUUCCAGAGUUUCGUUUUUUGUUUUUGGGUUUUUUUUUUUUUUUCUGGGAUCCUAGUGACCUCAUUGUUUCCAAUAUAUAUUUGAACGCUCAAUAUGAGUAAGGAAGCCUAUGGUGGCAAAUUCUAAGAGGAGGCAUUUUUCCUCCAUCCCUAUGACAGCCAGAAUCCCUAGUUAUCUUCUGUGCUUGUCUACACCUUUAAUGAGGAUGUAGCCCUCUGAGGGUUCUAGUUGUAUAUGGGUGUUUGUUUUAGCUCUUCUGCAGACCUAGGUCCUUGUCUUCUGUACCGUGUAAAGGAUAAUGCUAAAGCCCUAGCUUACCAAGAUUGACUUUCCCCUAAGAGACAGCUAAAAUAUUCUUUCACAGUUUUACCUUCUAUUUUUCAUUUCAGUUUUUGUUUUUGUGUCCUGGGAAGCUAUCAUACUAUUUGUAAACUUAGCUAGUAAUUGAAAAGGUUAUUUCUGAAAAAAAAAAUUUGCCUUUCACUUCUAAGUGUUAUUUUCAGAUUAUCUUAUUUAUCGUAUUAUAGAAACAGAAAUCUCAAGGAGUUGUAUCUUACUGAAUGUGUGUGGGCUUGGAAGCCACAGAAGUAAGUUACAUGGUUUAUCCGUAGACAUUUAAACCCAACCCUGUCCUUAAAAUAAUCUAAGUGGAAUAGAUUUCUCUCUUUCAUAAUUGUGAAAUACUGCAAGUAUUCCAAACUAAACAUGUUUACAAAUCUGUUAAGUUUUUGUAAAUGUGAGUUUACUAUCUAGCCAAGGUUUUUAUCUUUGGAAUUUAAUUCAAUUUCUAGGAUAGUCUCUCCCACUUAAUGUAUUUCUUUAUUCUAAAGUGAUUUAAUAGUGAAAAAGAAAACUGUUUUAUAGUGUACAGAUGCUCUGUUUGUGCUGCUAUACCAAAAUGCCUGAGACUGAUUGAUUUAUAAACAACAGAAAUUUAUUUCUCAUAGCUCUGGAGGCUGGGAAGUGCAAGAUCAAGGUGCCAACAGGUUUGGUGUCAGGCAAAGACCCGUUUCUCAUAGAGUGCACACAGUGUCCUUACAUGGCAGAAGAGAUGGAAGGGCAAAAAAGAGUGGACACUGCUUGAAAUCUCUUUUAUUAAGAGUCUUAAUCUCAUUCACAAGGGAGGAGCACUCGUGACCUAAUCUCCUCCUCAAAGUCCUGCCUCUUUGAGAUUAAGUUUCAGCAUGAGUUCUGGAGGGACUUAGCAGAUGCACACACAGGAAAUAUUAUUUAUAAGAUUAAGACCUGUAUAUUGAUGUAAAGAUGUUCAUCAUAAGUGAAAAGAGUAGGUUUCAGAAUUGUAUGUUGUAAUAUGAUUCCACUUAUGUGUUUCUGAGAUACAUAAAGUUUAUAAAAUGUCUGUUUAAAAUCAUCUGGUAGAUUAUAGACCAAACUAUUGGUAUUGCUUACUGUUGAGUAACAUUUUGGAUGAAGAAGAGACUUUUAAUUUCCAAACUUUUCUAUUGAUUGAAACUUUUUAGAGUGAACAUAUGUUAAUUUUAUAGCUAUCUGGCUAGUAUUUUUAUAAAAAGUAUUGAUUUAAAACUAGUCAUAAUACAUGUUCUACGUCAGUUGAAAAGCUUUAAUAAAAACUAGCUAAACCUGUUGGACAUCUUUUCUUUUGAUGUUUUAAGAGAUUAUAUUGAUGAAUGAGAUAUAAAAAUGAGAAUAUAAUUAAUUUCAGUGACUACUUCAUUCAUUCAUUCAUUCCAUAAAUAUUUAUUGGGUUGCUUUUCUGUGCCAGGCACUGUUCUGCACACUAGAGAUACAACGAUGAGCAAGUCAGAUUUUUAAAAAGCAAAAACUUGACUGGGCACAGUGGCUCACACCUGUAAUUCCAGCACUUCAGGAGGCUAAGGCGGGAAGAUUGCUUUAGCCCAGAAAUUCAAGACCAGCCUGGGCAAGAUAAUGAGACCCCAUCUCUGCAAAAAAUAAAAAACUAGCCAGGUGUGGUGGCGUGCAUCUGUGCCCCCAGCCACUCAGGAGGCUGAGGUGGGAGGAUCACUUGAGCCCAGGAGGUCGAGGCUGCAAUGAGCUGCUAUCGCACCACUGUGCUCCAACCUGGGCGACAUAAUGAGACCGUGUCUCAAAAAAAAAAAAAAAA